This 246-nucleotide unclassified non-coding RNA is filed under the name uncultured fungus. RNAcentral describes it as "partial contains 5.8S ribosomal RNA, internal transcribed spacer 2, and large subunit ribosomal RNA". The record is from RNAcentral. Lineage: Eukaryota; Fungi.
AACGCACAUUGCGCCCGCCAGUAUUCUAGUGGGCAUGCCUGUUCGAGCGUCAUUUCAACCCCUAAGCACAGCUUACUGUUGGGAAUCCACGCCCGUGGUUCCUCAAAGACAUUGGCGGAGCGGCAGUAGUCCUCUGAGCGUAGUAAUUCUUUAUCUCGCUUUUGUUAGGUGCUGCCCCCCCGGCCGUAAAACCCCCCCUUUUUUCUGGUUGACCUCGGAUCAGGUAGGAAUACCCGCUGAACUUAA